CCUGAAGGAAGAUCGGCUAAGUUCGGCACGUCCUGUGCCAACGCCGAUCUGACCCACAUCAUGUGAG
This 67-nucleotide small RNA is filed under the name Salibacterium halotolerans. RNAcentral's name for it is "Bacillaceae-1 RNA". It matches the Rfam family "Bacillaceae-1 RNA". The record is from RNAcentral. Lineage: Bacteria; Bacillati; Bacillota; Bacilli; Caryophanales; Bacillaceae.